Molecule: RNA transcript, 2492 nt
Organism: Arachis stenosperma
Lineage: Eukaryota; Viridiplantae; Streptophyta; Magnoliopsida; Fabales; Fabaceae
Exons: 7
Source: RefSeq, a predicted model, not a curated record
UUAACCAUAUGUAGUUAUAGUUGUUAAAGUCACUUCAUCUUAUUAGUUCUUCUUCCUGUUUCCCUUUUCUAGAUCCUUGAAGGGAAAGCAUAUAAGCUAAAUUUCCCUUGGAUUGGUGUUGUCAAUCGCUCCCAAGUAGAUAUCAAUAAAAAUGUUGAUAUGAUUGCUGCUCGACGUAGAGAGCAAGAGUAUUUUGAAACUAUCCCAGAAUAUAGACAUCUCGCAAGCAGAAUCGGCUCAGUGGAUCUCGGAAAGUUUCAAGUAUAAGUAAGUCACAAUACAGAGAAAAAAAAUCUGAGGUAGGGAUGGCUUAACUCACAACAUGCUGGAUGUUAUUCAUCAGCAUUGGAAAUAUGCUGAAGUGGCUAGGAUCAAAUGCAUGGGCGUUCCAACUGUUGACAUGAAAAAUUUUUGCACCCAGCUUGAGGACAAAACAUAUGGAAAGGUCAUUUUCAGGCAUGGGGGUAACUCCUCUCAUACUGUGGAAACCCCAAGAACCUGUCUAUCCUAGACUGAUUAAGACAACAAUUGAGGGUUUGAGUAUUGAGGAAACUAAAGAGAUGAGGAAGAAAGGACUAGCCGUUUCUGUGUUAACAAAACUUAGUAUGCUUGCAAUAUUUUCUAAUUCCAGUUUUAUGUAUGCUUUCUGCAAAGGUUAUUGACUCUGAAUUGAAUUGCAGCCAAAAAUGGCUAUUAUGCAUAUUUGGUGCCAAUGGUCAGAGCAGCCAAAAAAUUUCUUUCUUCAUCCUUAUUCAGCCACCAUACCUGAAUCUUUCUUUAUUAAGGGUACCCUUUCAUGUAAUUAAACUUGUUUGUAAUUCUAAAUGCUUAUUCCAGAUUGCAUUCUCCAAAGCUUUAGAAUAUGAAUUGAUAUAAUUAAUGUUCAGUUUUAACCUUCAAAUGAUAUUUUCUUGAUAUACAUCAAGAGCUUGGUUAUAGAAAAACCCAGGGUGAUGAAGUUGAAGAUAUGUUUAUUUACUUCGUGAAGUGAAAAGCCAGAUACCUAAAGUUACUGCAGUGUCUUCUGGGGCCAUUGCAUCUGACUAUUCGAGAUUGCGGGUGGAAAGUGUUUGUUCAAGGUUAGGCCUUGUUUCUCUGGCAUACUCAUGGAAACAAGAUCAAUCAUUGCUCCUCCAAGAAAUGGUUAUAUGGAAUUAAUGUUUGUGGUGAAGGAAGGGAAUAUGAAACGCUAACUCUUGAUUACCCUGUCUUCGUUUUAAGUUCAUACUGUCUCUCUUUUGGCUAUGUAAUAUUUGGAUUAUUUGUCCUACCUUCCUAGUGCUCUAGCUGGUCCACUAUACAUUAUGAAUUUGGAGAUAUUCCUUACAUAUUUGUUACCGUUCAUAAAGUUGGUCUUAAUUAGCUUUCGUUCAUAUUGAUGUCAAUUUUGUGAUCACACUGAACUUGAGAAUUCAAUCUUGUACUUGCUACUCAUUUUGCUUCAAUUUUAAUCCCUAUUUAUAUUUCUAUUUUCUUCUUUCAUCAUAAUAUUCCUUUGAAUCUCCAGAAUGCUCGAAUUGUGCUUGAUGAAUAUCAAGUUGUGAGACACUUUUCAGAUUCUAUAGCUCCUGUUGGAAUCCUUCGUCCCUUGAAAUUUCAUUUGGAGAAGAAGGUAGAUAUUCAAUCUUUAAUAUCACCAGAGAACAUAAGUGAAACUUCAGUUCAGAAACUGGAAACUGUGUUUGAAGUGGAAGACACUUUAGAAAGAUGUGAAGACACAUUUAAGCCGUUGGAUUGCAGUGCUGACCCAAUUGAUGACUUAGCACAUAAAUUUAACAUCUCAAGAACAAAUAACAAGAGAACACUCUCCUUAAGUUGCUCGUUACAAGAUUCAUGCAACGAUUUACGGGAAGAUUUGAUGACUGUUUUGGCAAAAAUUGAAUCACUAUUAGCUGGCUUUGGCUUUGGGUGGGAGAAUGUUGUCUAUGUUGCAGGUACAUUUGGAUACUUGUCUCCUGAGUGUUUCCAACGCCUGACCGUUACAGAUAAAUGUGACGUUUACUCCUUUGGUAUGGUUCUACUUGUAAUGGUAUGCAUGAAGGAGAAGGAUUUGUUUCUUAAUAAGGCCAACAUGUUUGGUAACCAACAUUUGGAGGGGAAGAGUGAAAUCAAAUACUUAGAGAAGUUCAUUGAUGAUCAAGUUCAACCAUGGAAUGUAGUAGCCUUUAUUUAGCGAUUCCCAAUCGAAGAGAUCAUUGAUCCAACCCUUAGGGGAAAGAUUGCACCAAAGUGCUAGGAAGUGUUCAUGGAUGUUACACAAAGAUGCUUGAAGCAUGAACCUGAUGGCUUUAUUUUCAACUAUAAAAUUAUUUUUGGGAUAAAUUAGAAGACAACUACAGAUGGUGUAGGUUCUUAUUUUUAUUACACUGAGAAAGGCUCAGUAUUUGAUUAAUGGCCUGAGUUAAUACACGUUGUUGAUGUAUGGUCGUUACUUAUUAUAGUUGAUAUAUCAAUACACUUUGUUUAUGUUUUUAAUUAUAUUGACUUGCUUG